GGCCGCUUAGCUCAGCUGGUUAGAGCAUCGUACUAAUACCCAGAAGCCCUUGGGCCUUGGUUACUAGUCCAUGCGGAGGUCGGCAGUUCGAUCCUGUCAGUGGUCA
This 106-nucleotide transfer RNA is filed under the name Apiotrichum porosum. RNAcentral's name for it is "Trichosporon porosum tRNA". It matches the Rfam family "tRNA". From Rfam's summary of the family: Transfer RNA (tRNA) molecules are approximately 80 nucleotides in length. Their secondary structure includes four short double-helical elements and three loops (D, anti-codon, and T loops). The record is from Rfam by way of RNAcentral. Lineage: Eukaryota; Fungi; Basidiomycota; Tremellomycetes; Trichosporonales; Trichosporonaceae.